RNAcentral lists this long non-coding RNA (312 nucleotides) under Erythranthe guttata (spotted monkey flower). RNAcentral describes it as "long non-coding RNA (EGUT_LNC003623)". Lineage: Eukaryota; Viridiplantae; Streptophyta; Magnoliopsida; Lamiales; Phrymaceae. The record is from RNAcentral.
UUUAUUUUUAUUUUUAUUGAAUUAUCCCUAUUUAUAUGGGUCGUGGGUACAUGGGUUAGUCUUUCAUUUUCCACUAAGUCCACUCCUUAUUAUGCCAUGUGUCACAUUUUGUUUUAAACUGCCACAUAGACCUUUUAUUCCCCUUAAUCACACUUUCUCCAAGAAAAACGCACACCACUUCUUCACCUUCUCCACUUCAAUGUUUUUUUUUUUCAAGAAAAAUUAGGGCUUAUAAGUUUCGUGCUUCUUUUUUUCGAAAAUUCACACUCAAAAAUCAAAAGCACAAGAAGCAAUUUUUUAUCUACUGUAUCA